Molecule: ribosomal RNA, 1567 nt
Filed under: Streptomyces triticiradicis
Lineage: Bacteria; Bacillati; Actinomycetota; Actinomycetes; Kitasatosporales; Streptomycetaceae
Description: Streptomyces sp. NEAU-H2 partial 23S ribosomal RNA
Rfam family: Bacterial large subunit ribosomal RNA
Source: RNAcentral
ACAGUGGACGCGAGCAUCUGUGGCCAAGUUUUUAAGGGCGCACGGUGGAUGCCUUGGCACCAGGAACCGAUGAAGGACGUGGGAGGCCACGAUAGUCCCCGGGGAGCCGUCAACCAGGCUUUGAUCCGGGGGUUUCCGAAUGGGGAAACCCGGCAGUCGUCAUGGGCUGUCACCCUUGCCUGAACACAUAGGGCAAGUGGAGGGAACGCGGGGAAGUGAAACAUCUCAGUACCCGCAGGAAGAGAAAACAACCGUGAUUCCGGGAGUAGUGGCGAGCGAAACCGGAUGAGGCCAAACCUCAAGCGUGUGAGACCCGGCAGGGGUUGCGCUUGGGGGGUUGUGGGAUCUCUCUUCUGUCGUCUGCCGGCGACAGGACGAGUCAGAAACCGUUGACGUAGGCGAAGGACAUGCGAAAGGUCCGGCGUAGAGGGUAAGACCCCCGUAGUCGAAACGUCAGCGGCUCGUUUGAGAGACACCCAAGUAGCACGGGGCCCGAGAAAUCCCGUGUGAAUCUGGCGGGACCACCCGCUAAGCCUAAAUAUUCCCUGGUGACCGAUAGCGGAUAGUACCGUGAGGGAAUGGUGAAAAGUACCGCGGGAGCGGAGUGAAAUAGUACCUGAAACCGUGUGCCUACAAGCCGUGGGAGCGUCGGACAUCAAGCUUGCUUGGUGUCUCGUGACUGCGUGCCUUUUGAAGAAUGAGCCUGCGAGUUUGCGGUGUGUUGCGAGGUUAACCCGUGUGGGGAAGCCGUAGCGAAAGCGAGUCCGAACAGGGCGAUUUUAGUAGCACGCUCAAGACCCGAAGCGGAGUGAUCUAGCCAUGGGCAGGUUGAAGCGGCUGUAAGAGGUCGUGGAGGACCGAACCCACCAGGGUUGAAAACCUGGGGGAUGACCUGUGGUUAGGGGUGAAAGGCCAAUCAAACUCCGUGAUAGCUGGUUCUCCCCGAAAUGCAUUUAGGUGCAGCGUCGUGUGUUUCUUGCCGGAGGUAGAGCACUGGAUAGGCGAUGGGCCCUACCGGGUUACUGACCUUAGCCAAACUCCGAAUGCCGGUAAGUGAGAGCGCGGCAGUGAGACUGUGGGGGAUAAGCUCCAUGGUCGAGAGGGAAACAGCCCAGAGCAUCGACUAAGGCCCCUAAGCGUACGCUAAGUGGGAAAGGAUGUGGAGUCGCAGAGACAACCAGGAGGUUGGCUUAGAAGCAGCCACCCUUGAAAGAGUGCGUAAUAGCUCACUGGUCUAGUGAUUCCGCGCCGACAAUGUAGCGGGGCUCAAGCGUACCGCCGAAGUCGUGUCAUUGCAGCAGAUAGCCCCAACGGGUGCUGUGAUGGGUAGGGGAGCGUCGUGUGCCGGGUGAAGCCGCGCCGGAAGGCAGUGGUGGACGGUUCACGAGUGAGAAUGCAGGCAUGAGUAGCGAUACACACGUGAGAAACGUGUGCGCCGAUUGACUAAGGGUUCCUGGGUCAAGCUGAUCUGCCCAGGGUAAGUCGGGACCUAAGGCGAGGCCGACAGGCGUAGUCGAUGGAUAACCGGUUGAUAUUCCGGUACCCGCUGUGAAGCGUCAAACAUCGA